GAAUACACAGAGGAAAGAGGGAAAGAAGGAAAGAAAAAGAAGGGACUCUGGCCUUUGUGGCAAUUUGCUUGGACCUACAGUGCAUUAUUCUAAGUGAAGAAAAGGACACGUGUUAUGUUGAUGGGAAGGAACAGGAAGGGGAGGCAUGGCCAAAGAGGAAAUACUGGACAAUAUUUCCUGGAAAGAAAGGAGUUAGAAGGUAGUUCCAAGCAUCCGCAGGAAUCUCCCUGAGAAAACCUAUUUUGUUCAAAGUAAAUGGAUGCUAGAAAUGUGAGAUUCCCAGGGAAAUUGCCACAUCUUUCUUGAAAAGGAGAGGAAAUCUAAUAGAUCACACAGCGUCCAGUCGUGUGGAUGUUGUCAGCCUUGCCCUGAGGCCGGGCUACAAACCAGCUGCCAUAUGCAACUGUCCCUGUCAUGCUGUGUCACUGAGCCAGGCAUGGUGUCAUCCUCCUCAGAGCUGAUGAAGAUCGUACAGAAUUUCAUACCAAAGGGCUCACCUACCGGAAGGAAUUAAAUUCUCCAGUGUGAGUUUGAGUGGCCUCCCAUGGAGGUCUGUCUGCAAGAGCUGCCCUCUCCUCACCAGGUCUGCGGACUCCAUCAGGCGUCUGUGACUACAGCGAAGCCAGCUGGCUGGGCCCUGCCUGCAUUCCUGUCCCAUUCCUGUCCAGCUCUGUGUAUUUGUAGUCAGCCCUGUUGAGCAUACUCCACUGUGCACAUCAGAAAGAGAUUGUCCAGGGCACGUCUCUGCCGUCUGGUCGUCUCUGCUCUGCCCUCCUGAAGUAAGUCCUUCGUUUUGUUUCUAGAACCUUGAGGCCUUGUCACUUGACGUGAACCCCGGCGGCCACUCUUUGCAGGAUAAAGCAUUUCUACCCCAGUGGUUCUCUCACUCUGGCCGGCUCGCUCCUCCCUAAGUCUGCCUGUGUAGGAUGGGAUGAGAGAGCGUGGAUGGGAGCACGCAGCCUCAGAAGACAGGUUUCCCGUGGCCAAUACCUCCUGCACAAUUACUCAGUUAAUCAGCGUGCUAAGCCUCUACCCCCAGUGUUCCCAGUUGUGCGUGACAGCGUGGAGGAGACUUGAGAAGGACACUCACAGACCCAGACUCGGCAGGGUUUAUGAGCUAGUUGAACAGAUGAAUGAACAAGUAGGUGAGAAGUAAUUUGACCCAAGUUCCAGUCUGGCCUCUGUCACUAAUUGUGUGAGUUGGAGGUUUAGAGAGAUGAGGCAUAAAAGUAUAAAACGUAUCCCUUUGGAUUAUUGUGAAGGCUAAUUAAGAAGACGAUGCCUGAAGACACACAGUAAAAACCUUCCCUCCUGUGAGCAUUGGGUCAGUAAGCACCCAACCAAGUUCACAGAACAUUCUGAGUUUUGGGAACAGGGACAGCAAUGCUCACAAUUUGCCCCUGGUGGGAGGAACCCUGUGAAGACCACAGGGCAAGCGAGGCAGCACUUCGAGGCCCUAUCAUUCUUGGGCUGGAGGCAAGACGGAGGAGUCUGUGUUAGAUUCAGGGUCACCCAGUGCAAGACGGAGCCACAGGGUCAACGGAGUAAGGGCUGGAGCCACAAAGAGGCUGCCGUUCCGGCUGGAGAAGGAAACCUUGCUACGGACAGAGGGAAAGAAACGCUCUGGUUUCUCCUUUGCACCUGCACUCCCAGUCUUCAAGGAAUGCUGAGUCCGUCAUCCUAAUCCAGCCGAGGCCAGCUUACUUGGACCCUGGGCAGCGCAACUGGAAAGACUUGGGCUUCAUCUCCCUGACCCUGCAGCUCUACACACACAGAAGGGCAAGGAUGCCCGGCCUGGCACAAGCCCUCGCUGUGGAUGUUUGCGUGGGGACAGGAACGCCCCUGCUGGGGCCUCAGAAGGUCUUGUGCGAGUCCUAGGGAGGGUUCUGUUUUUGCCAGGACCUGUACCGCCACUCUACACAUGCCUCGAAUGCAAACAGUGCAUGUUCUCCUUGUGAGGGACAAGGAGUUAAUGAUUCUGUAGAAGACGGCACAUCUAAAGAAAGACCAGGUGAGAAUGACCAGACAAAGCCAUCGCAUGCGUAUUCCAGACCGCCAGAGCUGGACAACUCAACACAAGACCCCCGGCUUCAGGUAGUAUUCCGUAAGACUCGCUGGCUGGGAGUCACUUCAAGGCUAAGGGCUGAAAUCGGGAAUAUCUUCACACAUAUGGCUGGCAUUGGGACUUUUCACCAGAAUACCUCCAGGGAGCCCUUCCCCAUGGUCCAUUCUUCACAGCAUGGAGGCCUCGGGGUAUAUGGACUUCUAACCGACUCACUUCAAAUACAUGUGACCCAGGAGAACUAAAUGGACACAGUGAGGUCUCUUGUAUCUUGCCUUAGAGCUUAGGUGUCAUUUUAAUGGCCAAGAGUGAGUUGUUAGAGUUGAUCCCAAUUGAAGGCAAGGGGACAUAGAUAUCAUCUAUCAGUUGGAAGAGUGUCAAUUAAUGUGCAGAAAUGUUCAGAACUCCUCAUAGCUAGUUACGUGGCUCCAACAUAACUCACAAAUGUUUUCUUACGUGCUCAGAAAGAGGAAAAUGAAACUGGGUUUGGUGAACAUAUUACAAGUAGAUACAGCAGCAUUUUUAUCAUUUAUUAAAAACCCUAUUCUAAUUUACAUUUUUAAAUUUAUUUUUGAGGUGGGGGGAACGGCAGAG
This is a long non-coding RNA of Lynx canadensis (Canada lynx), 2656 nucleotides long. RefSeq lists it as uncharacterized. The transcript is spliced from 4 exons. NCBI's taxonomy places the organism in Eukaryota, Metazoa, Chordata, Mammalia, Carnivora, Felidae. The record is from RefSeq and is a predicted model, not a curated record.